RNAcentral lists this unclassified non-coding RNA (683 nucleotides) under Hevea brasiliensis (rubber tree). The record is from RNAcentral. Lineage: Eukaryota; Viridiplantae; Streptophyta; Magnoliopsida; Malpighiales; Euphorbiaceae.
UAUCAACAUAUAGCUUUUUAAGUGCUACUUUUUGGCUAUUAUUAUUGUAACUUUUAGUGAGUUUGAUCUUUCAACUGCCUGGAAAGUUCACUCCUUUAUUGGGAAUCUUCUACUAGUUCCUUCUUGUUUAGAUGUUCUUGGAUUUGGGUGCACUUGGUUACCAAGUUUUCCAUUGACUGGUCUUAUCAAUUGUGAAUAGAAAGUCAUUGCGUAUUUCUGUACUGAUGCUUCGUACUGCCCUUGAUGAUGCUCCCUAUAUCUGUAAUGGCCGCAUUCUACAUUUCCAUGAUUUCAACAGGGAGCACCUUCAUCAGUGAAGCUAUGGGAACUGAUGGUGUAAAGAAGCGAUGAUGUUUUCGACUUACUAGAUUUAGCCAUAGUGGCCCCCUUUGACGAUGGGAAUUUGAGAUUGUGGGACUAUCUUAAUGGGACAAUCCAAUUCCAUAAUACAUACAACUGUGCAGCAGUAGUUCAAUGAAAAUGAGAAUUGAAAACCACCAACUUUUUGAUAGUGGUCUUCCUUUGUUGUAACCUUGUUGGUUUUUCUUGAUUCCUGCGAUUAGGACCAAUACAACAUGUUGAAUGUGCAUCUCUUUACCAAUAAUGAAAUUUCAUAUUUUGAUGGUCACAAUGAACACAGUGGUGUUCAUGUGCAUUUAUGCAUAGUUUACUUGAUAGUUAAG